RNA transcript from Galleria mellonella (greater wax moth), 4767 nucleotides. RefSeq lists it as uncharacterized. NCBI's taxonomy places the organism in Eukaryota, Metazoa, Arthropoda, Insecta, Lepidoptera, Pyralidae. The record is from RefSeq and is a predicted model, not a curated record. The transcript has 2 exons.
GACUACUACAAACAAGGAGUGGGGCAAGGAGUGGGGAGCCAAGCCUAUAAAAACCGGGUAGUUCAUAGCAUUGGUCUUUUUCGUUCGCCAACUCUCGAGGAGCGCAGACGGUGUGUGUGACGUGUUUUGCUGUAAUCGGUUUAUUAUUAUUUUAAUUACUUAAGAUUGGUGAUUUGUUCGAUUUAUUAUUUAAAUAUCUUUAUAAAAUUGUUAUAAUUUUGUAAUAAUAAGUAUUAAAUCAUUUGUGUUGCUACCGUCUUCUUUUUUUUAAUUAUUUUCCACUUCUGAUGCUAAAAUCAGAAGUGGGAUAAAGAACUUAAAUGCCCACUAUAACUUUCGAUCUGUUUAAUAUAAGAUCAACAAAGCACCAAUCUUCUUUUGUUUUUAUAUUUCCUAUAUGUGCAUGAACAAUUGUUGUUUAACAUUAUGUGUGAUAAGCAGAGUCAGUCGCGCAGCAAGACGCGUCGACACGACCGUGAUAGUAGAUCGCGUGAUAGGUCGCAUAGUAGAUCGCAUGUUAGAUCACGCCAUAGGUCGACUUAUAGAUCACCUACUAGAUCGCGAGAUAGGAUGCAAACAUCACAGCCUAGGUUACGGAAUAAACGUACUAACACGCCUCCUCGCCAACCCAUAGUAUCCCAUAAUUCGAUGCAAGAAACCUUACAAGCGAUAUUGACGCGAUUAAAUACAUUAGAAAAAAACUAUUCCACAAAUAAUCAUAGUGAUAAUACUUGUCAACAUAAUCUCGAAUUACCCACCAUUUCCGAUGUAACAUUUAACUGUUCUACGCCAAGUAGGAAUGUCACCGUAACUAAAGUACAGCAAAAUAACGUAUCGAAUAUUCCCAUUCAUGUGACUACCCCACCUGGGGAUCGCCAACUGGACACAUCCCGGUCCGAUAUUAUUAUUAACAAUGUUGAUCAAGCUUUCCGCGAAGAUAGGGUAGUAGAUAGUACGCAAGCAUUAGCAGACGCGAUUAAAUCUAUUAGUUCACAACGGUCGCAACCCUAUUUUGUGUCUAGUUUUGAUCCCUCACUUCAUAAUAUCGAGGUAUGGUGUGCAGAGGUUGAACGCGCUAAGGAUACUAACGGGUGGAGUGAUUCGGAGUGUUUGUCACGUGUAUCGAAAUGCCUCAGGGGUGACGCGCGCACUUGGUUAGACGAGUGGGUAACUAAUGAAAGGACAUGGUCCAAUUUUCUACAAGAAUUUAAACCACUUUGUCCGCGUACACUUGACUAUGCCAAUAUACUAUUCGAUAUUAUGAAAACAACUUCCGAAAAAUUUUGUACUUAUGCUGAAUACGCUCGACGUAGCCUAUUACGUUUACGUGUAGUAAAGGGACUAAGUGAGGAGCUCAUGACACUAAUAAUCAUACGCGGUAUUAGUGACCCUCAAAUCCGAGCCGCCGCAGCGAAUGCUAAUUUGACUUGCGACAACAUAGUGUCGUUUCUUAAUAUUUACGUUAAACCUAGCAAUAGUACGGCAACAAGAAAUAAUCUAGGAAAGCGCCCCUUACCUUUAAAUCAUAUGAAAGGUCCCCUUAGGUGUUUUAACUGUGGUCAGUCUGGACAUAAAAGGUUGAAUUGCACGAAAAAGCCAAAGGACACUGUUGUUUCUACCCACGCUAUUGUUGAUUCUUCUGAAUCUACGCAGCGAUCUGUCACUUCGGAAUACAAAACCACAAAAUGUGACUUUUGUAAGAAACCGGGCCAUCGCGAGGAAAAUUGUUUCGCGAAAGAAAGAUCGAACAUGCGUAAUAAACGAAACGUAAAUUUAUGCACUACCCUUUUGUUAACGGAUCCCUCUCGAAGCAAAGACGUAGUAACAGCGGUAAUACAGGGUAUUCCCGUUGAUGCACUCAUUGAUAGUGGCGCCUUGAAUAUUUCGCUUAUAUCAUCCGGGGUAGUAAAAUAUUUUUCAUGUGAAUUAAAACCUAUUAAUUGUGCGUUAAAGGGAAUCAGUGCAACAGUAAUUCAUGCCAAUUCUUAUGUAACGUUGACUAUCGAAUUUGAUGAAAUUACUCUUGAAGCGGAUUUUGUAGUCGUUCCAGAGUCAUGCAUCGCAUUUCCUUUGAUAAUAGGUACGGAUAUACUUAAUCGCGAUAGUGUCACUUAUGUUAGGUCUAAAGAUAAACAAUAUUUAACGCGUUCACCUAUGACACAACAGCAAGUAAAUACGGUAGUCCCCAAUACAAAAGACCAAAUCAAUACACCUCUUCAAGGUGAUGAUCGCAAUUUGCUCAUGUUAGUGAUUAAUGACUUUUCAAAUUAUUUGAUAUCUGGUACAGCUUCAACAACUGUUACUACAGGCAAAAUGAGUAUUGUCGUUAAGGAUGAUACUCCUAUAGCUUAUAGACCGUAUAGAUUAUCACAUCAAGAGAAACUCAAAGUUCGUGAAAUAGUACAUGAUUUAAAAGAAAAAGGUAUCAUUCGCGAUUCAAAUUCAGAAUAUGCUAGUCCCAUUCUUCUUGUGAAAAAGAAAGAUGGCAGCGAUCGAAUGUGCGUUGACUUCCGAGCAUUAAAUCGAGUAACUGUUAGAGACCGUUAUCCUAUGCCUCUCAUUGACGACCAUAUAGAUCGAUUAGAUUAGAACUUUAAAUAUUUUUCGAGUUUAGAUAUGGCUACUGGCUUUCAUCAAAUCCAAAUAGAUGAGAAAUCUAUACACCGAACGGCAUUUGUCACUCCAGAGGGUCAUUUUGAAUAUUUAAAGAUGCCCUACGGAUUGACUAACUCUCCGAUUGUAUCAUUAACGAAACCCUUCGCAAACAUAUUGAGGCUGGUAAUGUGUUAGUUUACGUAGAUGACGUCUUACUGAUGAGUCACACAGUCGAAGAAGGUAUUAACCUGUUGAGAGACGUGUUAACGACUCUGACAAAUGCGGGCUUUUCUAUUAACUUGCGGAAAUGUACCUUUCUCUCGAUGCAAGUAGAAUACCUAGGGCGUAUGGUGAGCCAAGGUCAGGUUAGGCCGAGCCCCAGUAAGGUGAAAGCACUGGUGAACGCCCCGGCUCCCGCAAACGUUAAACAGGUUAGGCAGUUCUUAGGCUUGUCAGGUUAUUUUAGACGUUACAUAAAAAAUUAUGCAACCAAAACCGCUUUCAUAUCACGCCUAACUAAGAAAAAUAUUGACUUUUGUUGGACACCGGAGCAAGAACGUGCGCGUCAGGAAAUCAUAACUUAUCUAACCAGUGAACCCAUAUUAGCUAUUUUUAAUCCCUUAAUUAUCGCUAUUCUCCAGUAGGCGAUGAACCGGGACUACUUUGUUUUAUACCAAAGGGGCAUCGGUUAAGUUUGUUGAGAAUAUUUCAUGACGGACACGAACAUAUAGGCGCGGACAAAACUCUAGAUUUAAUACUUAAACAUUUUUGGUUUCCUGGAUUACGACAAUUUGUUAACAAAUACGUUACGCAUUGUUUAGUAUGUUUAUCCAAAAAAACGUGUACCCAGGGCUCCACACCAGCUAAUAACUUCAUGGAAAAAGCCAGACACCCCUUUUGAUACUUUGCACUUAGACGCUUUAGGACCAUUGCCCGAGUCCAACGGUUAUAGAUUUGUGUUACUAAUAGUAGAUGCUUUUACAAAGUUUUGUAUGUUAUAUGCAAUACAUAGGCAAGACGCAGGCGAACUUGUACGUAUACUCACUAAUGCUAUAUCAUUAUUCGGUGUACCAAGAUUAUUAGUAACAGACCGUGGGCGAAUGUUUGAAUCGUCCAUUUUUACUAAGUUCAUCUCCGAACUCGGUUGUUCAAUACAUUAUAUAACACCUGAGAUGCAUCACUCUAACGGUCAGAUAGAACGGUACGUGCGGACCGUACUUAACAUGAUUAGAAUCGAAGCCAACCAUAAGAUGGCGUCAUAGUCAGAUCAGCUAUGGCGGCUUCAACUCAUCUUGAAUAUUACCAAACAAAUGACGACACAGACGUCAGCUCUGAACCUGCUUGUUGGCACUGAAGCAACGACGCCACUUAUCCGUUUACUGGUACGAGACGUAGCAGUGGAAGGAUCUUUAUGUAAUAGGGAAGGUUGGCGCGAAAUUCGAAGGGCGAGGGCCAACGAAUUAUUGGAGAAAAAUCGGGAAUGUCAAAAUAAUUACGUUAAUCGAAAUCGGUGUGCACCUCGUAUUUUUAAAGUCAAUGACUUAGUGUUUGUCAUUAAAUACUCGCAAUCAACGGGUAAGUUGGACCCAGGAAUGCGAGGACCGUACAAAGUCACCAGGAUUUUGCCUAGUGGCCGCUAUGAGUUGAAAUUGUUGAGUGGGUCAUACGGGAAGACUACACAAGCGGCAGCAGAAUACAUGGUUCAGUGGCACGGGGAAUGGUGUCCCGAAACGUGCGCCUCAUUUUUUGCAAAUAACUCUGAUGAUAGUGAUCCUAUAGCAGGACCAUCGGGAUCACAAGGAAGCACCUGCACGCCACAGAACGUCUUAGAGGAAGACCUGUGUCUAUCAUCGAGCACUGACGAAGAUGCUAGAGUCGAGGACGACUCUACGUCAGGAUAGGCCGUGUUAGAUAUUAAGACUACUACAAACAAGGAGUGGGGCAAGGAGUGGGGAGCCAAGCCUAUAAAAACCGGGUAGUUCAUAGCAUUGGUCUUUUUCGUUCGCCAACUCUCGAGGAGCGCAGACGGUGUGUGUGACGUGUUUUGCUGUAAUCGGUUUAUUAUUAUUUUAAUUACUUAAGAUUGGUGAUUUGUUCGAUUUAUUAUUUAAAUAUCUUUAUAAAAUUGUUAUAAUUUUGUAAUAAUAAGUAUUAAAUCAUUUGUGUUGCUAC